This is a long non-coding RNA of Leptopilina boulardi, 1372 nucleotides long. RefSeq lists it as uncharacterized. NCBI's taxonomy places the organism in Eukaryota, Metazoa, Arthropoda, Insecta, Hymenoptera, Figitidae. The transcript has 9 exons. The record is from RefSeq and is a predicted model, not a curated record.
GUUUCUGUACAUAUUUGUGAAUAUAUUUCCAAGAUAUUUUCCAAAAAAUGUCGUGACAUUGUUAAUUUUUUAUAUUUAUUGCAAUAAAAUAUUAUUGAUUCUCAUGUGAUAAUUAGUGGAAAGCAGUAGUAAGUCAAGGAUGCACUCGAAGAAAGUCGUAUAUAAUGGAAUUGCAGUUCAUGUUCUCAUCAGUUCUGUUGGCUAAUCCAUUUGUCAGAUAUUGGCGGCUCUCUAAAAUGGCACAAAUAGAUUGCGAAAAUGUUGACAUGGGGAAAGAUAUUAGGAAAAAAUAUCGUAAUGGAAAUAAUUCAGAUCAUCGUGGAAAAUUAGAAUAAAUAAAUAAUAUGUUCUACGACAUUUUUGAUGAUCCGAAAUGAAUAAAAAAAAAAAAAAAACCAGAGAUCCGGAUAACUUCAAAUGUUCAAAAUGGAAAUUACGUACAAUAAAAAUAAUAUCAACAAGAAAAGGACGUCCCGAAUAGAAGAAUUCCGCACGUGUGAGAAAAAACAUCACGGGAAAGACGACUACAAAACAAACCAAUUAUACCUGCAUGGAAAAUCUUGACGAACUUUCUUUGCGAUUCCUGAUAAUCAGGAGAGUGACGACAUAAGAAAACUUCAAAUUGAUUCUGUCGUCGAUGGAUGCUAGUAUCACGUACUUCAAGAUAAGGGCGAAAGUGAAAGACACAGAUUUCUCCAGUUUCAGACUUUUUAGAACUCGGUCUAUUUUUACGGUUAUUUUUCACAUUUUUUGAAUGGAAAUUUAAUUUGAAAAUAGGGAUCUCCGAGGGCUAUUUAGUUUGAAAGCAUCACCUUGAAGUUGAAAAUUCGUCAUUAAGGUCAUUUCCACGUAUAACAACAUUGUAAGACAGAAAGGAUAUUAUAUGGAAAAUAGCGGAUCCUUGCUGCCAAAGAUUUCAAAGACUAUUUUCUUCUGCGUGAGAUUCAUCAAACGACGAUGUAGUGCGAUAUUUGACAAGCCGUUACAUUAGAGAAUCUAAAGUUCCAUCAGUGGUGAACAGAUUUAGGAGUGCUCGAAUUUUUUUUUAUUUUACUAAUUAUUUUUUUUUGUCGUGAGUGUUCGAAAUUUUUUAAAUCGCGAUCGCUGAAAUAUUAAAAAAAGUAUUUUGUUUAUAUUAUAUAAAGUUCGGGAGUGAGCGAAAUUUUUUAAAUCGCGAGUGUUUCUACCAGAUCUUCUCAUACGAAAUAUCUUCAAAUCUUCUUGGUUGCAGACUAUAAGCAUCACAUGGAAUUGAAGAAAAAGAAAAGGAAUGCUGAUAAUAAGUGACUUUAAUAUGAAGAGUAAAGGAAUCUCUGGAGAAUGGUCCAAAGGGGUUGCUUGGUCAAUCGUCGAGGGAAUUCGCGACCGGUGA